This 1118-nucleotide long non-coding RNA is filed under the name Gallus gallus (chicken). RNAcentral's name for it is "lncRNA (ENSGALG00010029883.1)". Lineage: Eukaryota; Metazoa; Chordata; Aves; Galliformes; Phasianidae. The record is from RNAcentral.
GUGUUCUCGUUGCGUUUGGAUACCAGGCACUUGCUUUGAAGCAGGGACUUGUAAAGAGAAAGAUGCAGUGGGUACGUAUGCAUCCAGCAUGCAGAAGGUGAAAUAUUUCUGCUUGGACUUAAGGUCCCCAACCUAAACAUGUCCGGCCAUGGCAGAACCCAAACCUGGCAGGAGCAACACUGAAGGGUGGGAGGUCUGCAGUGAAGGUACAGCAGGAGGCAGAGCCCAGAGCCCGCAGGCUGAGAACUUCUGCUCACCUUCUUUGCAGUUACUGGAACACGGAGGGUGGGCAAAUAGCAACUUAAAUGAUAAGCAGCCUCCUCGUAGUGCUCUGCAUGAAGCAGAGUUCACAGACAUUCGGAGCAAGGCGUUAUUAGGGUUCUGAAAGGAUGGGUAUCACUCAGCUGAAAGUAAAUGUUAACAUCUACAAGGUGAGCUUCUAGAAGGGUGAUCAUCCAUCGGUCUCAGGGCACAAGCCACACUCUGCCUCGUGGGGCUUAGGGGAGGUUCCUGCAAGGUGCCCAACACCUGGAGAGCUCCAAGGGAGCGAGGGGCUGUGCCUACCCAUAACAGCACCAAAUACUGAGAGCAGCCGUGAGCCGAGACAGCCAUGGCUGUGCCUGGGCAGGGAGGGGUUCAGGAGGGGCGGAGGAGAGCCACGACUGGCAGGCCAAGCAAUGGUAGCUGCACACACAGCGGGUUCACUGCGGGCUUUUUGCAUCCCCACCUUCCUGGAUGUGUGCUCCAAUUCACAAGAGGUACUCUGGUUAUUCCGUGACACAAGGCGGGGUAAGAAGCUCGCUCUGACCUCAUCUUUUGCCCUACUUCCUUAUCUCGGAAUCUGGUGCACAGUGCCACACUUGUUCUCCCACAUAGUUUCCUUCACUGCCCUUCUCCUGGUGGGGACGGAGUUACGGAGCAGUGCUUCGUGGGGCACUUACUCUGCACAGCUCCCCAGGUGGGGAUGCAGCUCACGCAGCCAAAAGUGCUCCUUCAGCUGCCUCCUUUAAAGGCAAACUACACCAGUAGGGAUUGCACACCUGGAGCUGAACCAGAAUCCUGCAUACAAGACCCCCACUCAGCAGGAAAGCAGCCCAGGCCUUCAUAGAUAAGUGCAG